RNAcentral lists this transfer RNA (81 nucleotides) under Dreissena polymorpha. RNAcentral's name for it is "tRNA-Lys". The record is from RNAcentral. Lineage: Eukaryota; Metazoa; Mollusca; Bivalvia; Myida; Dreissenidae.
AGCGGAUGGUCUAGUGGAUAGGACGGUUGACAUUUGCUCCAUGGCUCCAGGGGUCAUUCGUUCGAGCCCCGUUGAAGGUUA